Molecule: long non-coding RNA, 548 nt
Filed under: Mus caroli (Ryukyu mouse)
Lineage: Eukaryota; Metazoa; Chordata; Mammalia; Rodentia; Muridae
Description: lncRNA (MGP_CAROLIEiJ_G0004370.1)
Source: RNAcentral
GGGAAUAUGGUGGUUGUUGCCUUGGCAACAGGUGUUCGGGUCCCGCCUAUGUGAUGUCAGGGGUUUUGGAGGUCCUAAUACCAACAACUAGCAUCUCCAUUGAAGUACUUAUAUAUGCAACAACAAGACGUCUGUGGUUUCAAACCAGUCAUGAAGGGAGCUGAGGUGCCAGGAAGCUGACAAUUUUACACUCCCGAUGCUCCUGAGUCUACAAGCUAAGAGAGGGGUGAAUAACCUGUGUGUGUCAUUGCUGCUGUUGUCAUCCUUCACUGACACCAGACUCCAGCUUCUUCAGAUUCCAACAAGACUCCAGGAAUCUUCUGGAGACCAGAUUGGGAUAGCGAAGGAAAACAGAUGUGUGGACUGAGGUGAUAUCUGCUUCUCAGCCUCUCCACCCUAAAGAUGGACAGUUUUUGAUUACCUAGUAUAUAUCUUGUGAGCCAAUGUAGUGAAUCUUUGUUCAUAAUGUGUAGGUAUUCUAUUGGUUCAUUUCCUUUAGAGAACCCCAUACAAUGCAAAUAUUGAAUAAAAAAAAUAGCUCACUGGAA